CACGUGGGUAACCUGCCUGUAAGACUGGGAUAACUCCGGGAAACCGGGGCUAAUACCGGAUGGUUGUUUGAACCGCAUGGUUCAAACAUAAAAGGUGGCUUCGGCUACCACUUACAGAUGGACCCGCGGCGCAUUAGCUAGUUGGUGAGGUAACGGCUCACCAAGGCAACGAUGCGUAGCCGACCUGAGAGGGUGAUCGGCCACACUGGGACUGAGACACGGCCCAGACUCCUACGGGAGGCAGCAGUAGGGAAUCUUCCGCAAUGGACGAAAGUCUGACGGAGCAACGCCGCGUGAGUGAUGAAGGUUUUCGGAUCGUAAAGCUCUGUUGUUAGGGAAGAACAAGUACCGUUCGAAUAGGGCGGUACCUUGACGGUACCUAACCAGAAAGCCACGGCUAACUACGUGCCAGCAGCCGCGGUAAUACGUAGGUGGCAAGCGUUGUCCGGAAUUAUUGGGCGUAAAGGGCUCGCAGGCGGUUUCUUAAGUCUGAUGUGAAAGCCCCCGGCUCAACCGGGGAGGGUCAUUGGAAACUGGGGAACUUGAGUGCAGAAGAGGAGAGUGGAAUUCCACGUGUAGCGGUGAAAUGCGUAGAGAUGUGGAGGAACACCAGUGGCG
This 618-nucleotide ribosomal RNA is filed under the name Bacillus subtilis. RNAcentral describes it as "bacterial SSU rRNA". It matches the Rfam family "Bacterial small subunit ribosomal RNA", at positions 114 to 717 of the family's 1533-position model. The record is from RNAcentral. Lineage: Bacteria; Bacillati; Bacillota; Bacilli; Caryophanales; Bacillaceae.